Molecule: ribosomal RNA, 465 nt
Filed under: uncultured bacterium
Lineage: Bacteria
Description: partial 16S ribosomal RNA
Rfam family: Bacterial small subunit ribosomal RNA
Source: RNAcentral
GACGAACGCUGGCGGCGUGCUUAACACAUGCAAGUCGAACGGAAAGGCCCUGCUUGCAGGGUACUCGAGUGGCGAACUGGUGAGUAACACGUGGGUGAUCUGCCCUGCACUUCGGGAUAAGCCUGGGAAACUGGGUCUAAUACCGGAUAGGAGCCAUUUUUAGUGUGAUGGUUGGAAAGUUUUUUCGGUGUAGGAUGAGCUCGCGGCCUAUCAGCUUGUUGGUGGGGUAAUGGCCUACCAAGGCGGCGACGGGUAGCCGGCCUGAGAGGGUGGACGGCCACAUUGGGACUGAGAUACGGCCCAGACUCCUACGGGAGGCAGCAGUGGGGAAUAUUGCACAAUGGGCGCAAGCCUGAUGCAGCGACGCCGCGUGGGGGAUGACGGCCUUCGGGUUGUAAACUCCUUUCGCUAGGGACGAAGCUUUUUGUGACGGUACCUAGAUAAGAAGCACCGGCUAACUACGUG